RNAcentral lists this ribosomal RNA (465 nucleotides) under Vreelandella stevensii. Its description in RNAcentral is "partial 16S ribosomal RNA". It matches the Rfam family "Bacterial small subunit ribosomal RNA", at positions 338 to 795 of the family's 1533-position model. The record is from RNAcentral. Lineage: Bacteria; Pseudomonadati; Pseudomonadota; Gammaproteobacteria; Oceanospirillales; Halomonadaceae.
CCUACGGGGGGCAGCAGUGGGGAAUAUUGGACAAUGGGGGGAACCCUGAUCCAGCCAUGCCGCGUGUGUGAAGAAGGCCCUCGGGUUGUAAAGCACUUUCAGUGAGGAAGAACGCCUGGUGGUUAAUACCCAUCAGGAAAGACAUCACUCACAGAAGAAGCACCGGCUAACUCCGUGCCAGCAGCCGCGGUAAUACGGAGGGUGCGAGCGUUAAUCGGAAUUACUGGGCGUAAAGCGCGCGUAGGUGGCUUGAUAAGCCGGUUGUGAAAGCCCCGGGCUCAACCUGGGAACGGCAUCCGGAACUGUCAAGCUAGAGUGCAGGAGAGGAAGGUAGAAUUCCCGGUGUAGCGGUGAAAUGCGUAGAGAUCGGGAGGAAUACCAGUGGCGAAGGCGGCCUUCUGGACUGACACUGACACUGAGGUGCGAAAGCGUGGGUAGCAAACAGGAUUAGAUGCCCGGGUAGUC